Non-coding RNA from Labeo rohita (rohu), 520 nucleotides. Lineage: Eukaryota; Metazoa; Chordata; Actinopteri; Cypriniformes; Cyprinidae. The record is from the annotation of a RefSeq genome assembly.
UGCUAAGAUGUUGUUCCUGCUUUUAAUUAUUUCUCUGCUCAAAGGGAAUGCUGACGCAAAUACUAUAAAUCCACUGGUCCCAGAGAAGCACAUCACGGAAGGAGACAAUGUUACCUUCACCUGUGAUUACAGUGGACGUGUUAACACUUUGCAGUGGUAUCGACAAUAUCCAGGAUCUAGAAUAGAGUUGCUUAUAUUUGUCACUGAGCUCAGUGGCCGGUCAAAGCCUGCACUUCGACUUUCAUCUGUGGCUGAUGAAACCAAUAAACGCAUGAAUCUCAGCAUCUUUCAGACUGAAAUAGAAGAUUCUGCUCUGUACUACUGUGCCCUGGUGCCCACAGUGACGGGAAACACUGCAACACUUUACAAGGGCUAUACGGUUCUUAGUGACAUCGAACAAAUGGAUCUGAAGAUCUCCUCUGCUGUAGAGACAGAUUCUGCCAUGUACUACUGUGCCCUGAUGCCCACAGUGACAGGAAAUCUAAUUGCAUCAUACAAAAAUGUCCCAUGUCAUCAUUAA